AUAUAUGUCCAGCUUAUACUUUGGAACAUAAUAACUGUUACUACGACUGAAAACCCAUGUGACUGUCAAUAUGGAGCAAGCUGUAAUGAUGGCGGAGAUUGUAUCUGUCAGGCUGGAUUUACAAGUGAUAAGUGUACUGAAAGUAGCUUAGAAGAUUUGUAUAGCGCAAUUUUCCAAAGUCUGUUAACUAAUAUAAGUGAUGCUGAAGCUUACGCUAAACAAACUCAUCAAUAUAUGGACAGCCACAUUACUCAAAAUUAUGCAGACCUGAAGACA
Molecule: long non-coding RNA, 276 nt
Organism: Mytilus californianus (California mussel)
Lineage: Eukaryota; Metazoa; Mollusca; Bivalvia; Mytilida; Mytilidae
Exons: 3
Source: RefSeq, a predicted model, not a curated record